UACGUAGGUGACAAGCGUUGUCCGGAUUUACUGGGCGUAAAGAGCGCGCAGGCGGUCGUUCAAGUCGAGUGUGAAAGCCCCCGGCUCAACUGGGGAGGGUCAUUCGAUACUGAUCGACUCGAAGGCAGGAGAGGGUAGUGGAAUUCCCGGUGUAGUGGUGAAAUGCGUAGAUAUCGGGAGGAACACCAGUGGCGAAGGCGACUACCUGGCCUGUUCUUGACGCUGAGGCGCGAAAGCUAGGGGAGCGAACAGG
RNAcentral lists this ribosomal RNA (253 nucleotides) under uncultured bacterium. Its description in RNAcentral is "partial 16S ribosomal RNA". It matches the Rfam family "Bacterial small subunit ribosomal RNA", at positions 524 to 776 of the family's 1533-position model. The record is from RNAcentral.